CUGAGUUUUGAGGUCAGAGUUGAGGGACCCAAGUCCAGCCCCAGCUCUGCCUCCAGAGAGGUUAAGAAAGCCGCCACAAAUUAUCUAGCUAAAAGGCGACAGAUCAGCAAUUUGAGUUUUGCUUUGACUUUGACUCCAAAGCUCUUUCUACUGUCACACUGCCCUAGUGUAUUGGGUUCAUGCUGAAGUUUCUUAAAGAGGAAUUCCUAAGCCAGUUCAAGUGACGGUAGGGGAGCCCUUGGCAUGAACAGAAGAAUCUAAUUGUGCCCCUUUCCAUGUUACUCUGUUCUCAAGUUACUGGCCUCUUUUAUUCUUUUCAUCAUGCCCACCCAUUCCUGUGAAUGACUCCUGUAGCAUCACUAAAAUGUCAUGUCCAGCUUGUUCUCCAGGAAGAAUGAACGUGUGGAAGCUGGCAUUUGAUUUCUUCCUGUUGGCUACUGACCUUAGACAGCAUGGACAGUGUGGAUACUCACUCUAACAUCAGGCCACCGAGACAUGUUAUCAGCAACAAAAACAACAAUGACAACAACUCUUGUCAGAGACCAAAGUGCCAGAAACUAGAGAUGAAAAGACAACCCCUCCUCCCUAGUCUUCUUCUGUGUCCCUGGGGUUUCUUUGGCAGCAAUGUUUUAUAUAUUACCUCAGGAGACCUGUAGCUGUGAGUAGCAGUGUUUCCUGGAAACAGAGGCAGAAGGUUCCUGCUUCCUUUAUGGCAGGCUCAUGUUCUCACUCAGGGAAUCAAGCAUUUCUUCAUACAAGUGGAAGCACAUGGUCUUUCCUUUCCUGGUUCAGCAGUUCCCACCCCCAGCAUCAGGCCAAGUCAAGACAAGUAGGGCUGUGACCUGGAGGAGUCUCCGUGAGCCCCGCGAGAGAGUUUGGAGUGUCUCUCAGACAACAAAACUUUGAUGGACUUUGACUUCGGCCAUGACUCUUUUUCCUGGCAAACUACAUGUUGGAUGACCAAAGAAGAUGCUCUCUGCAGAGUGUAAUCCAGUCACCAAAGCCAGAGGUUGAGGGGAAGUUGCCAUUUUCCCUUGUUGUUUACCUGUCAAGGGUCCGUUGCCCCGAAUCUUUCAGUUAUUGGUAUCCUGGCUGAGUACCUCUGCCCUGGUAUUUGAGUGUGUAUAUCAGCAGUGCUCGUGGCACUGCUUUGAAGUUUGUGGUCCUGCCACUCUAACUGUAUGACUUCGGGCCUUCAGUUAAUCUAAGUUUCAAAUUUCUCCUCUGUAUGAUGGGAAUAGUUAUGCCUGUCCUGCUUGCUUGAUCAGAUACAACCCCAAUUUUGUAAAUCUGAGAACUUAGGGUCCCAGAGCUGGGUAGGGAGCUUAUGUGCUAACCCACACAGCCUUUGUCUGCUUGAAACAGCCACCCCUCACUGGCAUCCUGGAUAAAUGAUCCUCCAACUUCAAACUGAGCUCUGGCUGGGGAUCUGCCCACUCAGGAGCUCUGAUUGUUAGAAAAUUCUUCCACGGGCUGAGCUGAAAUCUGAACCCUCCAGUAACUUUUACCCGCUGGUUUCUAUUUUCUAUCUCACCUGGACUCAACAAUACAUUUUUAUCACAAAGGUAUUCUGUAUAUUGAAGACUACUGUAAAAAGUCCCACCAUAGUUGUUGUUUUUUUUUUUCUAAUUAGUUAUCAAGUCAUCUCUUCAGCUC
Vulpes vulpes (red fox) is the source of this 1656-nucleotide long non-coding RNA. Lineage: Eukaryota; Metazoa; Chordata; Mammalia; Carnivora; Canidae. The record is from Ensembl.